GACGAACGCUAGCGGCGUGCCUAAUACAUGCAAGUCGAGCGGACUUUUCGGGAGCUUGCUUCCGGAAAGUCAGCGGCGAACGGGUGAGUAACACGUGGGUAACCUGCCUGCAAGACCGGGAUAACUUCGGGAAACCGGAGCUAAUACCGGAUGAUCUCCUUUUCCGCAUGGAGAAGGACUGAAAGGACGGCGCAAGCUGUCGCUUGCAGAUGGGCCCGCGGCGCAUUAGCCAGUUGGUGAGGUAACGGCUCACCAAGGCGACGAUGCGUAGCCGACCUGAGAGGGUGAUCGGCCACACUGGGACUGAGACACGGCCCAGACUCCUACGGGAGGCAGCAGUAGGGAAUCUUCCGCAAUGGACGAAAGUCUGACGGAGCAACGCCGCGUGAGCGAUGAAGGCCUUCGGGUCGUAAAGCUCUGUUGUCAGGGAAGAACAAGUGCGGGAGUAACUGCCCGCACCUUGACGGUACCUGACCAGAAAGCCACGGCUAACUAC
Molecule: ribosomal RNA, 496 nt
Filed under: uncultured Bacillota bacterium
Lineage: Bacteria; Bacillati; Bacillota
Description: bacterial SSU rRNA
Rfam family: Bacterial small subunit ribosomal RNA
Source: RNAcentral